This 342-nucleotide long non-coding RNA is filed under the name Anas platyrhynchos (mallard). Its description in RNAcentral is "lncRNA (ENSAPLG00020007251.1)". The record is from RNAcentral. Lineage: Eukaryota; Metazoa; Chordata; Aves; Anseriformes; Anatidae.
AUGCCGCAGCCAUCCACAGCAAGGGAAAGCGGGGGCAGGCCCACAGAAAUGCCUGUGAUGCCUAAAAUCGCCUUGAGAUCUCCAAGUGAUCGUUUCUUAACAUUUCAAGAUGCCAGUCCAGAGUUUAAAACUGUCAGUGCUAUAGCACAGGCAGCUGGGACCAGAAGUUCAGGUCUCACUGCAGAUUGUACACGUCCUCCCGUGAGUGCACCCAUGCUGGCAGACAUCAAAUCUGAGUGUUCCCUGAACGCUGGCCAACAGCAGCUGCCUCCUUACAGAGCAAGAUCCAAAUCUUUAGAGAGUGGCCUUCAAAGCAGGGAACGUGACCAUCAGCCUUCCUAA